AUUAGAUUGAAACUGUUAAGUAUUAGUAAUUGUAGUACUUAGUUAUUCAUGAUGUGACUUGAAAUUUGAUAGAAGAAGAUUGUAAAUGAAACCAUGGAGCAGAUUCCACCCCCCAAGGAAAUAAAAAUUUUGGAAACAGCAGAAGACAUCCAGGAAAGGCGUCAACAGGUUUUGACUCGUUAUGAUAAUUUCAAAGCUGAUGCCAGAGCUAAAAGAGAGAAACUUGAAGAUUCUCGUAGAUUCCAGUACUUUAAAAGAGAUGCAGAUGAGCUAGAAUCAUGGAUUUUAGAAAAACUUCAAGCAGCUAGUGAUGAGAGCUACAAAGAUCCUACCAAUUUGCAGG
This is a long non-coding RNA of Agrilus planipennis (emerald ash borer), 343 nucleotides long. RefSeq lists it as uncharacterized. The transcript is spliced from 2 exons. NCBI's taxonomy places the organism in Eukaryota, Metazoa, Arthropoda, Insecta, Coleoptera, Buprestidae. The record is from RefSeq and is a predicted model, not a curated record.